AACGAACGCUGGCGGCAUGCCUAACACAUGCAAGUCGAACGAGACCUUCGGGUCUAGUGGCGCACGGGUGCGUAACGCGUGGGAACCUGCCCUUAGGUUCGGAAUAACUCCCCGAAAGGGGUGCUAAUACCGGAUAAUGUCUUCGGACCAAAGAUUUAUCGCCUUUGGAUGGGCCCGCGUUGGAUUAGCUAGUUGGUAGGGUAAAAGCCUACCAAGCCGACGAUCCAUAGCUGGUCUGAGAGGAUGAUCAGCCACACUGGGACUGAGACACGGCCCAGACUCCUACGGGAGGCAGCAGUGGGGAAUAUUGGACAAUGGGCGAAAGCCUGAUCCAGCAAUGCCGCGUGAGUGAUGAAGGCCUUAGGGUUGUAAAGCUCUUUUACCCGGGAUGAUAAUGACAGUACCGGGAGAAUAAGCUCCGGCUAACUCCGUG
This 433-nucleotide ribosomal RNA is filed under the name uncultured bacterium. RNAcentral describes it as "partial 16S ribosomal RNA". It matches the Rfam family "Bacterial small subunit ribosomal RNA", at positions 29 to 507 of the family's 1533-position model. The record is from RNAcentral.